Molecule: non-coding RNA, 69 nt
Organism: Corchorus capsularis
Lineage: Eukaryota; Viridiplantae; Streptophyta; Magnoliopsida; Malvales; Malvaceae
Source: Rfam
UUGAGCUGUACGAGAUGAAAUUCUCAUAUACGGUUCUCGGGGGGGUCCUCUUGGUUUACCUAUCUCAAU